GACGAACGCUGGCGGCGUGCCUAAUACAUGCAAGUAGAACGCUGAAGGAGGAGCUUACUUCUCUGGAUGAGUUGCGAACGGGUGAGUAACGCGUAGGUAACCUGCCUGGUAGCGGGGGAUAACUAUUGGAAACGAUAGCUAAUACCGCAUAAGAGUAGAUGUUGCAUGACAUUUACUUAAAAGGUGCAAUUGCACCACUACCAGAUGGACCUGCGUUGUAUUAGCUAGUUGGUGGGGUAACGGCUUACCAAGGCGACGAUACAUAGCCGACCUGAGAGGGGGAUCGGCCACACUGGGACUGAGCCACGGCCCAGACUCCUACGGGAGGCAGCAGUAGGGAAUCUUCGGCAAUGGACGGAAGUCUGACCGAGCAACGCCGCGUGAGUGAAGAAGGUUUUCGGAUCGUAAAGCUCUGUUGUAAGAGAAGAACGAGUGUGAGAGUGGAAAGUUCACACUGUGACGGUAUCUUACCAGAAAGGGACGGCUAACUACGUGCCAGCCGCCGCGGUAA
This 511-nucleotide ribosomal RNA is filed under the name uncultured bacterium. Its description in RNAcentral is "partial 16S ribosomal RNA". It matches the Rfam family "Bacterial small subunit ribosomal RNA", at positions 28 to 523 of the family's 1533-position model. The record is from RNAcentral.